AGCUUAUCGGUGAUGUUGUAAAAAUAAAUGUCUGAACAUAUGAGUACAAUAAUGAUUUCAGCAUCAAACUGAGAUGAGCU
Non-coding RNA from Echinops telfairi (small Madagascar hedgehog), 80 nucleotides. The record is from Rfam. Lineage: Eukaryota; Metazoa; Chordata; Mammalia; Afrosoricida; Tenrecidae.